GCCCAUUAAAAGUCCAUUUACAAACAAAGCUACCAACCCAAUUACAACCCAAAAAUUAAAACCUAAAAGAAGCCCAAAAGCUUAGAAACCCUAGCCCACAACCUAUUUUCGGAAAUUAGAAACUCUAGCCGCAAGCCUCAACCACCCACUUCCAACCACUACCAAGUGGCACAUGCCUCCACCACCGUUUGCCUGCCAUACAAGAAGAAGAAAAGAUAACAAAUAUAUAUAAUAAAGUUUGUAAAUGGCUAUAAAGGCCAUACUAGAACGGAUUGUAAGGGGGGGAUCGAUGGUAUUUUUAGGAAGAAUCGAUUGUAUUUUGGGGAGAGAAGAGAUUGUAUUAGAGGGGGUUGUAUUACAGACACUUUUGGGAGAAAUCAAAAGGAGAAAACAAGUUCAAAAGGUGUUUGUCCUUAUUUUUAUUUUUUUGAUCUUCUUUCUAUUCGUUCGUUUUAUCUAUUUUACAAAUAUUUUUAACAAAGAAAAAAACUUGUAAAAAAUAUAAAAAAAAAGAGAAAGAGGGAAGGAUCUUACCGGUGUUCAGUUUUUCAACAUCGUGGACGACCGAGGAAGCCACCGCCGAGGAUCGGUGGCCGGAAACCGAAUGGAU
RNAcentral lists this long non-coding RNA (610 nucleotides) under Gossypium barbadense (sea-island cotton). RNAcentral describes it as "long non-coding RNA (GBAR_LNC012108)". Lineage: Eukaryota; Viridiplantae; Streptophyta; Magnoliopsida; Malvales; Malvaceae. The record is from RNAcentral.